GCUAUGAGUUCCUUCGAAUCACUACCAAGGACCUGUUUGGGACAUUUACAGCAGCCUUGGAUGAAUACUGUCCUCGACUGAUAAAGCUGUAUAGAGCCAGGAAAGGAGCCUUCGGACAAGGGAUGGAAAACCUAUUGGAUUCUCUUGAUGAACAGACAUCUGACAUUGCACAGCAACGAAUGAGAAUGUGUCUGGAAGGUCUGCCCUUAUUUGUCCGUGACAGUGCAGAGAAGCUCUUCCUGAAAUGCCUGGACACUGAUCCGGAAGAAAAGCAGACUGCUGGUGUCAAGAUGAGAGUCCUCACUGUUCACGUAGAUGAUGGUGGACCUACCCCGUCUCAAAUGGUCAACAGUAUUGCUGUUGUCUUGGAAGAGACAAUUGUACUCUCGGAUGUACCAGACAUCCCAACUGCAUUUGUCUACCUUUUUGGUACUCUAUGCCCUGAACAUUGAGUUUCCAAAAGAACACAAGUACACUUUUGAGACUGUUCAGCACAUCUUCAUGGGACUUUCCACCAGUUGCUCCCAGCGGGUCAGGAGUUUGAAAACAAAGCUCAUAAUCUAAGUGAGCAUUGGCAAAUUCAAAAACGGAUUCACAAGAUGUCCCCAUUUCAUUUUCCUGCCUUCACUGCUGUUUGUGACUUGAACAUUCAGUUCCCAAAACCAAACUAACCCCACUAACUAACCCAAAUAACCCAAGUUCUUUAUCUUUACAGAUAAAAUGUUAACUAGUGACAUGAACAUCUUGCUACAUUUUCAAAGACAUGUUCUCACUCUUAAGGCACAAGCACCUUUUUUCUCUAACAUUAUUUCACUUUUUUCUCAAGCUGGCUUGCAUACUCGUUGUUGUAAUAUUGCAAGGACUAGUUAGUAGUUACUGCCACAAUUGUUGUCUUGCAGCUGUUUUUUUUGUAUAAAGAGCCAUAUGAGUAGUGGAAGAGUUGGAAAUGGUGUGGUCCCUCAGAGUUGUGUUGGGAGAAAUCACUGGCUGUUUACAUGCCGUUUUACAGAUUGUUCAUUUUCGUUAUUAAACACUAACUUUGCCAUUUGUUAUUCCAUAGCUGCUAUUGUUUUGACAGCAGGCUUAUUCAAAGGGUGGUUUGCACAUUUGUAUGGAACCCUGGCCUUAUGGAAGACUUUUAGUGAUGGUGUAUUUUCAAUGUUGUUACACAUAUUCAGUAUCAUUGGAAAACUUUCACUUAAUGGAAUUGUUAGUAUGUAGUACUCAAAAUAAGAAGUUUCUAUACAUAUGAAAGGUACAUUUUCUAGACCAAAAAUAAUAACUUGGCACAACUUUCACUUAAUGGAAUUCUUUGUAUGUGGAACUCAAAGUUAGAAGUUUUUAAACGUAUGAAAGAUACAUUUUCCAAACCAAAGAUAAUAAGUUAGCACAACCUUUACUUAUUUAAAAUGUUAAGUAUGCAGAACUCAAAACUUGAAGUUGUAAAAAAUUUGAAUGAGUUGUCUCGACAAAAUAUAAUUAGUUGACUCAAUUGAAAAGAGAAACUUAGAAAUGUUAGUUGGCCUCAAAACUCAAAAAUCUUGUGCAGCCUGUUGCCUUGAAAUUUUGAGUUGUACUAACUUUUUUUUUUUUACAGUGUAGUUGAUGGUGAAUUUGUGUACCUUAAUAUAAAGUUGUACCGCUUAUAUGAUGAACAUUGAUGUC
This is a long non-coding RNA of Gymnodraco acuticeps, 1665 nucleotides long. RefSeq lists it as uncharacterized. The record is from RefSeq and is a predicted model, not a curated record. Lineage: Eukaryota; Metazoa; Chordata; Actinopteri; Perciformes; Bathydraconidae. The transcript has 3 exons.